AGCGAACGCUGGCGGUAGGCCUAACACAUGCAAGUCGAACGGUAGCACAGUAAGAGCUUGCUCUUACGGGUGGCGAGUGGCGGACGGGUGAGGAAUACAUCGGAAUCUACUUUUUCGUGGGGGAUAACGUAGGGAAACUUACGCUAAUACCGCAUACGACCUACGGGUGAAAGCAGGGGAUCUUCGGACCUUGCGCGAUUGAAUGAGCCGAUGUCGGAUUAGCUAGUUGGCGGGGUAAAGGCCCACCAAGGCGACGAUCCGUAGCUGGUCUGAGAGGAUGAUCAGCCACACUGGAACUGAGACACGGUCCAGACUCCUACGGGAGGCAGCAGUGGGGAAUAUUGGACAAUGGGCGCAAGCCUGAUCCAGCCAUACCGCGUGGGUGAAGAAGGCCUUGGGUUGUAAAGCCCUUUUGUUGGGAAAGAAAAGCAGCAGGUUAAUACCCCGCUGUUCUGACGGUACCCAAAGAAUAAGCACCGGCUAACUUCGUG
Molecule: ribosomal RNA, 491 nt
Filed under: uncultured bacterium
Lineage: Bacteria
Description: partial 16S ribosomal RNA
Rfam family: Bacterial small subunit ribosomal RNA
Source: RNAcentral